UUCAGACGAUGCGUCAUGCAUAUCAAUAAGCGGAGGAAAAGGGUAUGCUCAGAGGAGUAGUCACGUCCGUGACCUUCCUCGGAGUUCACUAUGAGAUGAUUGUGGACAUCGACGGCUUCAAAUGGAUGAUCCAGACGACAGAUUUCGUGGAUGUAGACGAACAUAUCGGGCUUUACAUCGAGCCGGAUGCCAUACACAUUAUGAAAAAGUCCGAGUAUUCCGGCAUGUUCGGCGAUUAUUCUUCUUUCUCAAACGAACACGAUGAGCUUAGUAAUGCGGAAAGCGUGGACGAGGAAUGAACAGAGGAAUAAAAAAACAGGGGGCACUUGGCAGGCUGAUGUGUCUGGCGCCUUAUUCUGUCUGGUCUGUGCUGUUUAUUAUCGUACCCCUGAUAUUUGUGGGCUAUUACGCUCUUACAGACAACAAUUUUGCAUUUACGACCGAAAACAUCACAAAAUUCUUUACCACGACUUCACAGAUUGCUGACGGGGAAGCCAUGCGUGAGGUACAUACGUAUCUUCUGAUUUUCUGGCGUUCCCUGAAGCUUGCGAUCAUAUCCACGGCUAUCUGUUUGCUGAUGGGUUACCCGAUGGCGUAUAUAAUCUCCCGUGCCGACAGCAGGGUUCAGAGUAUUCUUAUCACUCUGAUAAUGAUUCCCCAUGUGGAUGAACUUUCCUUAUGCCGUACCUACGCUUAGGAUGUUGAUCUACAGAGCGAGAGU
This 721-nucleotide ribosomal RNA is filed under the name uncultured Neocallimastigales. Its description in RNAcentral is "partial large subunit ribosomal RNA". Lineage: Eukaryota; Fungi; Neocallimastigomycota; Neocallimastigomycetes; Neocallimastigales. The record is from RNAcentral.